GCCGGUGUGGCGGAAUUGGUAGACGCGUCGGAUUCAAAAUCCGAUUCACGCAAGUGAGUGGGGGUUCGAUUCCCUCCACCGGUA
RNAcentral lists this transfer RNA (84 nucleotides) under Fidelibacterota bacterium. RNAcentral describes it as "tRNA-Leu". It matches the Rfam family "tRNA". Rfam says of the family: Transfer RNA (tRNA) molecules are approximately 80 nucleotides in length. Their secondary structure includes four short double-helical elements and three loops (D, anti-codon, and T loops). Further hydrogen bonds mediate the characteristic L-shaped molecular structure. tRNAs have two regions of fundamental functional importance: the anti-codon, which is responsible for specific mRNA codon recognition, and the 3' end, to which the tRNAs corresponding amino acid is attached (by aminoacyl-tRNA synthetases). tRNAs cope with the degeneracy of the genetic code in two manners: having more than one tRNA (with a specific anti-codon) for a particular amino acid; and 'wobble' base-pairing, i.e. permitting non-standard base-pairing at the 3rd anti-codon position. Lineage: Bacteria; Pseudomonadati; Fidelibacterota. The record is from RNAcentral.